AUACGUAGGGUGCAAGCGUUAAUCGGAAUUACUGGGCGUAAAGCGUGCGCAGGCGGUUUUGUAAGACAGAGGUGAAAUCCCCGGGCUCAACCUGGGAACUGCCUUUGUGACUGCAAGGCUAGAGUACGGCAGAGGGGGAUGGAAUUCCGCGUGUAGCAGUGAAAUGCGUAAAUAUGCGGAGGAACCCCGAUGGCGAAGGCAAUCCCCUGGGCCUGGACUGACGCUCAUGCACGAAAGCAGGGGGAGCAAACAGGAUUAGAUACACUGGUAGUCCACGCCCUAAACGAUGUCAACUGUUUGUUGGGUCUUCAUUGACGCAGUAACGAAGCUAACGCGUGAAGUGGACCGCCUGGGGAGUACGGCCGCAAGGUUGAAACUCAAAGGAAUUGAGGGGG
Molecule: ribosomal RNA, 395 nt
Filed under: uncultured bacterium
Lineage: Bacteria
Description: partial 16S ribosomal RNA
Rfam family: Bacterial small subunit ribosomal RNA
Source: RNAcentral